Non-coding RNA from Punica granatum (pomegranate), 220 nucleotides. Lineage: Eukaryota; Viridiplantae; Streptophyta; Magnoliopsida; Myrtales; Lythraceae. The record is from Rfam.
ACGACCUUACUUGAACAGGAUCUGUUCUAUAGGCUCGUACCUCUGUGUCCUUGAGUUCUAAGGAGACAGGAAUCAAAGUCUGGUGGAUGAACCACGGCUGUGCUGCCAGAGCGUGAUUAGCAGCUCCGUUGGCCUCCUGGGGCCGCCGGUUGCGGCGGAGGAUCGUUCUCAGGCCCCGGAAGCGGGGUCCUGGGGUGGUUGCACGGCGUUCUGACAGACU